CCUGACGCAAGCACGCCGCGUGUAGGAGGAAGUCCCUCGGGAUGUAAACUACUGUCAGGGGGAAGAAAGUCCGCCUCGGCGGAUUGAUCUAACCCAGAGGAAGUCACGGCUAACUUCGUGCCAGCAGCCGCGGUAAGACGAAGGUGGCAAGCGUUGUUCGGUAUUACUGGGCUUAAAGCGUGUGUAGGCGGAAUGGUAAGCGUCUUGUGAAAUCCCUCGGCUUAACCGAGGAAUUGCUUGGCGUACUGCCUUUCUUGAGGCAGGUAAGGGUGCACGGAACUCUUGGUGGAGCGGUGGAAUGCGUAGAUAUCAAGAGGAACGCCGGUGGAGAAGUCGGUGCACUGGGCCUGUUACUGACGCUGAGACACGAAAGCGUGGGGAGCGAACGGGAUUAGAUACCCCGGUAGUCCACGCCGUAAACGGAUGUCUACUAGGUUGCGGAGGUUCUGACGCCGUCGCGACCGAAGCAAAAGUGUUAAGUAGACCGCCUGGGGAGUACGGCCGCAAGGCUAAAACUCAAAGGAAUUGACGGGGGCUCACACAAGCGGUGGAGCAUGUGGAUUAAUUCGACGCAACGCGAAGAACCUUACCUGGGUUUGACAUCCUUUGACACCCCUGGAAACAGGGCUUUCCCGACUUGUCGGGACAGAGUGACAGGUGCUGCAUGGCUGUCGUCAGCUCGUGUCGUGAGAUGUUGGGUUAAGUCCCGCAACGAGCGCAACCCCUGUCUUUAGUUGCCAGUAUUCAGUUAGGCACUCUAAAGAGACCGCCUCGGUUAACGGGGAGGAAGGUGGGGAUGACGUCAAGUCCUCAUGGCCUUUAUACCCAGGGCUACACACGUGCUACAAUGGGCUGUACAAAGGGUUGCUAACUCGCGAGAGCACGCUAAUCCCAAAAAGCAGUCCUUAGUUCGGAUUGGAGUCUGCAACUCGACUCCAUGAAGUUGGAAUCGCUAGUAAUCGUGGAUCAGCACGCCACGGUGAAUACGUUCCCGGGCCUUGUACACACCGCCCGUCACACCACGAAAGUUGACUGUACCAGAAGUUGCUGGGCUAACCCUUCGGGGAGGC
Molecule: ribosomal RNA, 1070 nt
Filed under: uncultured bacterium
Lineage: Bacteria
Description: bacterial SSU rRNA
Rfam family: Bacterial small subunit ribosomal RNA
Source: RNAcentral